RNAcentral lists this small RNA (107 nucleotides) under Suricata suricatta (meerkat). Its description in RNAcentral is "Metazoan signal recognition particle RNA (ENSSSUG00005009065.1)". It matches the Rfam family "Metazoan signal recognition particle RNA", at positions 121 to 227 of the family's 299-position model. From Rfam's summary of the family: The signal recognition particle (SRP) is a universally conserved ribonucleoprotein. It is involved in the co-translational targeting of proteins to membranes. Lineage: Eukaryota; Metazoa; Chordata; Mammalia; Carnivora; Herpestidae. The record is from Rfam by way of RNAcentral.
UCAGCAUCAAUAUGGUGACCUCCCAGGAGCGAGGGACCACCAAGUUGCCUAAGGAGGGGUGAACUGGCCCAGGUCAGAAACAGAGCAGGUCAAAACUCCCGUGCUGA